This 463-nucleotide ribosomal RNA is filed under the name uncultured bacterium. RNAcentral's name for it is "partial 16S ribosomal RNA". It matches the Rfam family "Bacterial small subunit ribosomal RNA", at positions 330 to 790 of the family's 1533-position model. The record is from RNAcentral.
UCCAGACUCCUACGGGAGGCAGCAGUGAGGAAUAUUGGUCAAUGGGCGGGAGCCUGAACCAGCCAAGCCGCGUGAAGGAAGAAGGCGCCAAGCGUCGUAAACUUCUUUUGUCGGGGAACAAAGGGCGCCACGUGUGGCGUUGUGAGUGUACCCGAAGAAAAAGCAUCGGCUAACUCCGUGCCAGCAGCCGCGGUAAUACGGAGGAUCCGAGCGUUAUCCGGAUUCAUUGGGUUUAAAGGGUGCGUAGGUUGUUUUAUAAGUUAGCGGUGAAAUACCGAUGCUCAACAUCGGGGCUGCCGCUAAUACUGUAGGACUAGAGAUCGGAUGCAGCAGGCGGAAUGUGUAGUGUAGCGGUGAAAUGCAUAGAUAUUACACAGAACACCGAUUGCGAAGGCAGCUUGCUAGGCCGGAUCUGACACUGAUGCACGAAAGCGUGGGGAUCGAACAGGAUUAGAUACCCGCG